Molecule: ribosomal RNA, 253 nt
Filed under: uncultured bacterium
Lineage: Bacteria
Description: partial 16S ribosomal RNA
Rfam family: Bacterial small subunit ribosomal RNA
Source: RNAcentral
UACGUAGGGCGCAGGCGUUGUCCGGAAUUAUUGGGCGUAAAGAGCUCGUAGGCGGUUUGUCGCGUCUGCCGUGAAAGUCCGGGGCUCAACUCCGGAUCUGCGGUGGGUACGGGCAGACUAGAGUGAUGUAGGGGAGACUGGAAUUCCUGGUGUAGCGGUGAAAUGCGCAGAUAUCAGGAGGAACACCGAUGGCGAAGGCAGGUCUCUGGGCAUUAACAGACGCUGAGGAGCGAAAGCAUGGGGAGCGAACAGG